GUGCUCACUUCAGUAGCUCAUAUACUAAAACUGGACCAAUGCAGAGAAGAUUGGCGCAAGGAUGACACGCACAUUCGUGAAGCGUUCCAUGUUUUU
Molecule: small nuclear RNA, 96 nt
Filed under: Neotoma lepida (desert woodrat)
Lineage: Eukaryota; Metazoa; Chordata; Mammalia; Rodentia; Cricetidae
Source: RNAcentral